GCCGCUCUCUGUGGGUUGGGAACAUUACAUUGGAAGUUACAGAGAAAGACCUCUGGAUCUCUUUAAAAUGUUUGGUGAGAUUGAGAGCAUCAAAGUUCUUCACGAGCGUUUCUGUGCCUUUGUCAACUUCAAGAAUGCCAACAUGGCUGCCAAAGCCCUGGAGAAGCUGCAGUUGGUCAAACUUUAGACUUGUCUAA
Long non-coding RNA from Micropterus salmoides (largemouth bass), 197 nucleotides. RefSeq lists it as uncharacterized. The record is from RefSeq and is a predicted model, not a curated record. The transcript is spliced from 3 exons. NCBI's taxonomy places the organism in Eukaryota, Metazoa, Chordata, Actinopteri, Centrarchiformes, Centrarchidae.